GACGUAGGGUGCGAGCGUUGUCCGGAUUUAUUGGGCGUAAAGAGCUCGUAGGCGGCUCGUCGCGUCGACCGUGAAAACCCGCGGCUUAACUGCGGGCUUGCGGUUGAUACGGGCGGGCUAGAGUUCGGUAGGGGAGACUGGAAUUCCUGGUGUAGCGGUGAAAUGCGCAGAUAUCAGGAGGAACACCGGUGGCGAAGGCGGGUCUUUGGGCCGAUACUGACGCUGAGGAGCGAAAGCGUGGGGAGCGAACAGG
This 253-nucleotide ribosomal RNA is filed under the name uncultured bacterium. Its description in RNAcentral is "partial 16S ribosomal RNA". It matches the Rfam family "Bacterial small subunit ribosomal RNA", at positions 524 to 776 of the family's 1533-position model. The record is from RNAcentral.